This 385-nucleotide ribosomal RNA is filed under the name uncultured bacterium. RNAcentral's name for it is "bacterial SSU rRNA". It matches the Rfam family "Bacterial small subunit ribosomal RNA", at positions 29 to 444 of the family's 1533-position model. The record is from RNAcentral.
AACGAACGCUGGCGGCAUGCCUAACACAUGCAAGUCGAACGAGACCUUCGGGUCUAGUGGCGCACGGGUGCGUAACGCGUGGGAAUCUGCCCUUAGGUACGGAAUAACUCAGGGAAACUUGUGCUAAUACCGUAUGAUGUCGAGAGACCAAAGAUUUAUCGCCUAGGGAUGAGCCCGCGUAGGAUUAGCUAGUUGGUGGGUAAAGGCCUACCAAGGCUACGAUCCUUAGCUGGUCUGAGAGGAUGAUCAGCCACACUGGGACUGAGACACGGCCCAGACUCCUACGGGAGGCAGCAGUGGGGAAUAUUGGACAAUGGGCGAAAGCCUGAUCCAGCAAUGCCGCGUGAGUGAAGAAGGCCUUCGGUUGUAAGCUCUUUACCGGUAA